UGAGGUCAAGAACGGAUAAUUGAUACGUUGCUGGAAUGCGCGAUCGAUGAAAGCUCAGCGCGAGGAUGGGGCUGCGGCGGAUUAGGUUGUUGGCGGGGUAAAAGCCCACCAAGCCGAUGAUCCGUAAGGGCCUUUAGCGAGGAAGCCCUGAGAGGGAGUCUGAGACACUACUCCCAGCCCUACGGGGUGCAGCAGUCGGGAAAAUUUUGCAAUGCGCGCAAGCGUGACAGAGCAAGCCAGAGUGCGGUUCCGUUUGGAACUGCUUUUGUGCGAUCUAGACAGUCGCACGAAUAAGGACUGGGAGAGACUGGUGCCAGCCGCCGCGGUAAUCCCAGCAGUCCAAGUCGCAGCCACAUUUGUUGGGUCUAAAACAUCCGUAGCUUGCUUCGUAAGUCUCGUGUGAAAUCGGGCCUCUUAAGGGUCCGGCGGGCACAAGAUACUGCGAAGCUAGAGACCGGGAGGCGCAGGAAGUACUCUAGGGGUAGCGGUAAAAUGUGUUGAUCCUUAGGGGACUAACAGUCGCGAAGGCGUCCUGCGAGAACGGAUCUGACAGUGAGGGAUGAAGGCUAGGGGCGCAAAGUGGAUUAGAUACCCAUGUAGUCCUAGCAGUAAACACUGCACA
RNAcentral lists this ribosomal RNA (622 nucleotides) under uncultured archaeon. RNAcentral describes it as "bacterial SSU rRNA". It matches the Rfam family "Archaeal small subunit ribosomal RNA", at positions 141 to 766 of the family's 1478-position model. The record is from RNAcentral.